This 276-nucleotide ribosomal RNA is filed under the name uncultured Kocuria sp. RNAcentral's name for it is "partial 16S ribosomal RNA". It matches the Rfam family "Bacterial small subunit ribosomal RNA", at positions 83 to 354 of the family's 1533-position model. The record is from RNAcentral. Lineage: Bacteria; Bacillati; Actinomycetota; Actinomycetes; Micrococcales; Micrococcaceae.
UGGGGUGGAUGAGUGGCGAACGGGUGAGUAAUACGUGAGUAACCUGCCCUUGACUCUGGGAUAAGCCUGGGAAACCGGGUCUAAUACUGGAUACGACGUCCUGCCGCAUGGUGGGGCGUGGAAAGGGGUUUUACUGGGUUUUGGAUGGGCUCACGGCCUAUCAGCUUGUUGGUGGGGUAAUGGCCUACCAAGGCGACGACGGGUAGUCGGCCUGAGAGGGUGACCGGCCACACUGGGACUGAGACACGGCCCAGACUCCUACGGGAGGCAGCAGAC